CUCGCGGCCUAUCAGCUUGUUGGCGGGGUAACGGCCCACCAAGGCUAUGACGGGUAACUGGCGUGAGAGCGCGACCAGGCACACCGGGACUGAGACACGGCCCGGACUCCUACGGGAGGCAGCAGUAGGGGAUCUUGGACAAUGGGCGAAAGCCUGAUCCAGCGACGCCGCGUGGGGGACGAAGGCCUUCGGGUUGUAAACCCCUGUUGUUGGGAAAGAAGCCGGCUUUGCCGGUGACUGUACUUAUUUAGGAAGCCCCGGCUAACUACGUGCCAGCACCCGUGGUA
Molecule: ribosomal RNA, 287 nt
Filed under: uncultured Sanguibacter sp.
Lineage: Bacteria; Bacillati; Actinomycetota; Actinomycetes; Micrococcales; Sanguibacteraceae
Description: partial 16S ribosomal RNA
Rfam family: Bacterial small subunit ribosomal RNA
Source: RNAcentral